This 539-nucleotide ribosomal RNA is filed under the name uncultured bacterium. RNAcentral describes it as "partial 16S ribosomal RNA". It matches the Rfam family "Bacterial small subunit ribosomal RNA", at positions 355 to 881 of the family's 1533-position model. The record is from RNAcentral.
UGGGGAAUAUUGCACAAUGGGCGCAAGCCUGAUGCAGCCAUGCCGCGUGUGUGAAGAAGGCCUUCGGGUUGUAAAGCACUUUCAGCGAGGAGGAAGGUGGUGAGCUUAAUACGCUCAUCAAUUGACGUUACUCGCAGAAGAAGCACCGGCUAACUCCGUGCCAGCAGCCGCGGUAAUACGGAGGGUGCAAGCGUUAAUCGGAAUUACUGGGCGUAAAGCGCACGCAGGCGGUUUGUUAAGUCAGAUGUGAAAUCCCCGGGCUCAACCUGGGAACUGCAUUUGAAACUGGCAAGCUAGAGUCUCGUAGAGGGGGGUAGAAUUCCAGGUGUAGCGGUGAAAUGCGUAGAGAUCUGGAGGAAUACCGGUGGCGAAGGCGGCCCCCUGGACGAAGACUGACGCUCAGGUGCGAAAGCGUGGGGAGCAAACAGGAUUAGAUACCCCUGGUAGUCCAGCGCUGUAAAACGAUGUCGAUUUUGGAGGUUGUGCCCUUGAGGCGUGGCUUCCGGAGCUAACGCGUUAAAGUCGACCGCCUGGGGAGU